This 88-nucleotide transfer RNA is filed under the name Erysipelotrichaceae bacterium. RNAcentral's name for it is "tRNA-Ser". The record is from RNAcentral. Lineage: Bacteria; Bacillati; Bacillota; Erysipelotrichia; Erysipelotrichales; Erysipelotrichaceae.
GGGACAGACAAGCAGUGGGGAACUGUCACGGUUUGCUAAACCGAUGGUAAGCUUGAAAACUUAUGGGGUUCGAAUCCCCGUUGUCCCG